Non-coding RNA from Pelobates cultripes (western spadefoot toad), 1476 nucleotides. Lineage: Eukaryota; Metazoa; Chordata; Amphibia; Anura; Pelobatidae. The record is from the annotation of a GenBank genome assembly.
UUAAGCUUCCAGUUUAUGUGCAGGAAGCAGAGGAGCAUAAAGUCCCAAUAACCACCACAUCUCAGUACACACGACACAGAACUCUACAUGGUUUGAUCCAGAAAUAUUUAAUUGAGGAGUUGAGAGGUAAUGUGGCCAUGGCUGAUUCCCAUAUUGGGUUUGAUUUUGUCAAAAUGUCUAAAUCUGGAAAAUGUCAGCACAACUUUAUGUUUUAUAAAUGCCUCUCAAAUGUAACAUAUUGUGUUAAUAAUAGCUCUACUGACUCUAUACAUGAGCCGAAACAUUGCUAUACCUUAUUCACCAAUAAAACCCACCUUUGUGGGAAGCUACCUGGUGUGCAUGAGAUCUCUUCUCUAUUGAACUCCUUGGGGAUUCCCCCCACCCCUUCAUGAAGCACCCUUGUGCAGAAUCCCACAACCUUGAAUGUGUGCACUCCCAAUUAGUUUUUAUUAAUUUUAGUAAUAUAUCAUGGCAGUAGACCAUAUCACAGAUAAUGUUUGGGGUCAGCUUUAUACAUUAAUCCUCAAUGUUUUAUCGAUAUGGUGUAUGGAUGCUGUUGAGGACUGGAUAUCACAGUAUCUGUUGAAUUCGGGUGAGGGUUCAUCCUAACAUAUACCUGGCACUGUCAUGAUUUAAAAUUAAACAGACAAAAGACCAAGGAUAUAAUGAUCUCCCAGUUUCAAUGCACCAUAUCACCACGAAAAUCAAAUCCUUGGGACUUUCUUUCCUUUACAGUAGAUAGUGGGAUAGAAUAGAAUGUGACCAUCUUUGGACGGAACCAUUCCACUUCAUUGGAACCGACAAUAAUUUAGAAUAUAGCUGUAUCUCUGCUUCAGUAAAAUUGAAAAUCCUUACAGUCACAAUCUGAUGUUUCUGUUUUUCUGUAGAAUCUGUCCAGUUAGAGGCACUGAAGGACUGAGGUUGCCUACCCCAGUGUAAAAUAUAAAAUGUGUUAAUUUUAAUUGCUUUUUAAAAUGGAUUAAAACAAUGUGUGGCCCAGUGUUGUUAACAGUUCAUAAAAGCCUGCUUUUCUUUGCCAGAGGUUGACAUUACUUUCCUAUUUUUAAUAUUUAUACCUGUGUUUACCCUUGAGAUUAUGGAAGGGGAAUGCUAAAUAUGCUGAAGUGAGCUGUGUGCAUGAGUCAAAUGUAAAAUGUCAUUUAGUGAUACACGAAUGUUGUUAGGAAGUUGACAUUUACCCUGCAGUAUAAAUGCUUGAUAAAAUAAAGACAAUACCAAUGUGUGAUGGAAAUGAGUAAAAAAAUAAAUUAGAUUUACUAACCAUUCCUUUAAAAAAAUAUAACUAUUAAACAGAGGCGGCUCUAGACUUUAUGAGGCCUUAGGCGAACUUCAAGCAUGAGGCCCCACUUACACCCAAAGUAUAAAAUAAUAGGGUUGUAUUUUGUAUAAGUGUAAGGAGCAUUUGCUAUAUCGAAAGGCGUGCUUGCAGCACUGGAUACAGAGAGUCAGUCUCUG